RNAcentral lists this ribosomal RNA (580 nucleotides) under uncultured rumen bacterium. Its description in RNAcentral is "bacterial SSU rRNA". It matches the Rfam family "Bacterial small subunit ribosomal RNA", at positions 173 to 763 of the family's 1533-position model. The record is from RNAcentral.
GCACAGUGUCGCAUGACACAGUGUGAAAAACUCCGGUGGUAUGAGAUGGGCCCGCGUCAGAUUAGCUAGUUGGCGGGGUAACGGCCCACCAAGGCGACGAUCUGUAGCCGGACUGAGAGGUCGGACGGCCACAUUGGGACUGAGACACGGCCCAAACUCCUACGGGAGGCAGCAGUGGGGGAUAUUGCACAAUGGAGGAAACUCUGAUGCAGCGACGCCGCGUGAGUGAAGAAGUAUUUCGGUAUGUAAAGCUCUAUCAGCAGGGAAGAAAGGCUCGCAAGAGAGAUGACGGUACCUGACUAAGAAGCCCCGGCUAACUACGUGCCAGCAGCCGCGGUAAUACGUAGGGGGCAAGCGUUAUCCGGAUUUACUGGGUGUAAAGGGAGCGCAGACGGUCAAGCAAGUCUGAAGUGAAACCCCACGGCUCAACCGUGGGCUUGCUUUGGAAACUGUUUGACUAGAGUACUGGAGAGGUAAGCGGAAUUCCUAGUGUAGCGGUGAAAUGCGUAGAUAUUAGGAGGAACAUCGGUGGCGAAGGCGGCUUACUGGACAGCAACUGACGUUGAGGCUCGAAGGCGUG